Molecule: ribosomal RNA, 467 nt
Filed under: uncultured bacterium
Lineage: Bacteria
Description: partial 16S ribosomal RNA
Rfam family: Bacterial small subunit ribosomal RNA
Source: RNAcentral
GACGAACGCUGGCGGCGUGCUUAACACGUGCAAGUCGAACGGAAAGGCCUCUUUCGGGGGGUACUCGAGUGGCGAACGGGUGAGUAACACGUGAGUAACCUGCCCUUGACUUUGGGAUAACUUCAGGAAACUGGGGCUAAUACCGGAUAGGAGCUCCUGCUGCAUGGUGGGGGUUGGAAAGUUUCGGCGGUUGGGGAUGGACUCGCGGCUUAUCGGCUUGUUGGUGGGGUAGUGGCUUACCAAGGCUUUGACGGGUAGCCGGCCUGAGAGGGUGACCGGCCACAUUGGGACUGAGAUACGGCCCAGACUCCUACGGGAGGCAGCAGUGGGGAAUAUUGCACAAUGGGUGGAAGCCUGAUGCAGCAACGCCGUGUGCGGGAUGACGGCCUUCGGGUUGUAAACCGCUUUCGCUCAUGACGAAGCUUUGUGUGACGGUAGUGGGUAAAGAAGCACCGGCUAACUACGUG